GGGCUGGAAGGCAGCAGCCCUCACAA
RNAcentral lists this non-coding RNA (26 nucleotides) under uncultured Thalassiosira. The record is from RNAcentral. Lineage: Eukaryota; Bacillariophyta; Thalassiosirophyceae; Thalassiosirales; Thalassiosiraceae.